Long non-coding RNA from Chenopodium quinoa (quinoa), 1803 nucleotides. RefSeq lists it as uncharacterized. The transcript is spliced from 5 exons. NCBI's taxonomy places the organism in Eukaryota, Viridiplantae, Streptophyta, Magnoliopsida, Caryophyllales, Amaranthaceae. The record is from RefSeq and is a predicted model, not a curated record.
UCAAGUAGUCAAGUUUACGUUCCUUCUCUAAUUCAAUGCCGAAUUUCUACAGUUAGGGCAAUUGGAAUUUUAAUUGGUUGUGGUGGGGUCCGACGGCGGCGACGGCAGGAUGAAGAGAAGGAGUGUGAGAAGGAGGUCAAGGAUAGAAGAGAUUGUGAGGAAGAGCAUAUAGUUGUUGUUGUUGGUGGUUUUGGACGAGGUGCAUGAGUUCUUCCCCUAAAAUCAUGGCGUCAUGGUACAGAAGAUCAAGAGUACGCUGUGGUGGUGAAGCCUUGAAGUUUCUGAAGCAUCUCCAUAUUAGGUCCUCAAAGAAAGGGAUUUACGAAGGUGAGAUCUUAUUCAAUUGAUUGUUAAAAUUAAGGUGAGGCAAUGGAGAAAUUCUUUGUCAAGUAGUGUCAUCUAAGGUACAAUUGCUAUUUCACUGAUAUUUUUUUAUGGUUGAAAUGUUUUGAUCGCUUUAUAUUGUUCUGGUUGAGUGUAGAUAUGAAAAAUUCAAUUAUGCAAUUGAAAUAGUUCAAAUUAAGAAACAAAUAUUUGAUUUUUUUUUAAUACAUUUGUAUUUUAGCUAUUGUAUGUUAGAUUAGUAUCAUAUGAUUUUAUCUCUAUUUAUGUAUAAUUAUAGAUUGUGAACUAUCAAUUGGAUUACUUGGUUGAAGAGUUGUUGUGCAUCAGUGCAUUGAAUUGGCACUCUGUAUUAGAAUGUUGGCCGAAGAUGAUGCAAGAAAUCGUGUGAAGAAAGUUUCAGACUUUCAGCUAUUCACAAUCUCUGUCAUAAGGUAUAUAAAGAGGAGUGGGUGUGGAAGCUGCCUGCAUCAUCUUUUCUUAAUCUUAUAUAAUUUGAUUGGUUAGUCAUAAUUCUGAAGAUUUUAACAUGAACCUGACAUGGUAGAUGGUGCUAAGUCACAUACGAAAGUCAUGUAAGGAGUCAUAAUUCUCUGCUGGGUUGACUUAAUUUAUAUGUGAUUCGAUUUAGAACUAAUUAUUGUUUGUAAUUGAUUACAGAAGAAGGCUCCUUAUUACAUCCAGAAAGCAGAGAAGAGGAAGGCUGAUUAUGAAAAGAGCAUGAACACCUAUAACAAGAAAUUGGUUUUAGGGAAUAUUUAUGUAGUUUCUACCUUGCCAAACUCUUGUUAUAAUGUAUUAUCGGUUGGACUUUCAUUACAAUGAACUACAAGUUGGGUUUAAAUGACAAUGAAGCCUCUGCUCUUCUUUUGUUUGCCUUCUUAAUUAGUGUAGAGUGAAAGCAGUUAGCAGCUUUUGUGAAGGUUAUACCAAUCCCAACGUAUCCUACUGUGAUUAUCCAACUACAAGGAGUGACAAUGGGAGAUAUAUCCUAACUGGUUUAGAAACUUACUUAUAAUAUUCAUUUUAAAAUUGUUUUUAAUUUUUAUUUUUAUUUACUGGGAAACUUUGCGCAUUUUAAGUUAUAUUUUACUUGGUUGUCAGUAUGAUAAGAAUUAAUAAUUUCAACAGGCAGAAAGUUGAAUUUACAAGAUAUAAGUAUUCUACUUCAAUAUAUGUUGAAGUGCAUAUUGUAUGAUGAUAACGUUAAAGUGACUUGAAUUUGAUUAUUUGCCUACAGAUUCAAGCUAGUGGUUUUGAAGGACCAAUACUAUUUAGUAUAUCAACAAACUAUGGAGUGGUGACAUGUUUCUUAUGGUGAAUCAAUUGUUCAGUCAAAUUUUAAAGUUUAUUGGGAACAUCAUAGUAUUUCACUUGUUUGUUUGUAUGACUCCUAUGAGAGACAUGUUUGUAAUUUAUUUACAAGAUUAAGUAUAUAUAUCAUUUUCUAUAUUAUUAUUA